This 300-nucleotide ribosomal RNA is filed under the name uncultured Myxococcales bacterium. RNAcentral describes it as "bacterial SSU rRNA". It matches the Rfam family "Bacterial small subunit ribosomal RNA", at positions 114 to 398 of the family's 1533-position model. Lineage: Bacteria; Pseudomonadati; Myxococcota; Myxococcia; Myxococcales. The record is from RNAcentral.
CACGUGGGUAAUCUACCUUCCGGCGGGGGACAACAGUCCGAAAGAAUUGCUAAUACCGCAUACGUCAGCGGCGCCUACGGGCGCUGUUGGGAAAGAUGGCCUCUCCUUGGAAGCUAUCACCGGAAGAUGAGCCCGCGUCCCAUCAGCUAGUUGGUGAGGUAACGGCUCACCAAGGCUAAGACGGGUAGCUGGUCUGAGAGGAUGAUCAGCCACACUGGGACUGCGACACGGCCCAGACUCCUACGGGAGGCAGCAGUGGGGAAUAUUGGACAAUGGGGGAAACCCUGAUCCAGCCAUGCC